UGGGGAAUAUUGCACAAUGGGCGAAAGCCUGAUGCAGCAACGCCGCGUGAGUGAUGAAGGCCUUCGGGUUGUAAAGCUCUUUCUUUUGGGACGAUAAUGACGGUACCAGAGGAGGAAGCCACGGCUAACUACGUGCCAGCAGCCGCGGUAAUACGUAGGUGGCAAGCGUUGUCCGGAUUUACUGGGCGUAAAGGAUGCGUAGGCGGAUACUUAAGUCAGAUGUGAAAAUCCCGGGCUUAACUUGGGAACUGCAUUUGAAACUGGGUAACUAGAGUUCGGGAGAGNAAAGUGGAAUUUCUAGUGUAGCGGUGAAAUGCGUAGAGAUUAGGAAGAACACCAGUGGCGAAGGCGACUUUCUUGACCGUAACUGACGCUGAGGCAUGAAAGCGUGGGGAGCAAA
Molecule: ribosomal RNA, 400 nt
Filed under: uncultured bacterium
Lineage: Bacteria
Description: bacterial SSU rRNA
Rfam family: Bacterial small subunit ribosomal RNA
Source: RNAcentral